GUUACAACAGUGAUAUAUGAUAAUAUUGUGAAGAGAUAUAUUGAUAGAAGGAUUAUUGAUUGGAAAUAAUCUUCAAUCUCUUGAAAAAAGUUAUAUUUGCUUUACUUCAAUUUUUUAUUUAUAUUUCACACUCAAUUCACUCACACAUUAUAUUCUUCUUUCUUACUUCUCUUAAAAUUCAGGAAAUCUUACUUUGGUAAUCUUCAGGGUCAUCAAAUAAUCAAAUAUUGAAAUUACAUACAGGUAUGUUUUUCAAUUCUCCACCCAUAUAU
RNAcentral lists this long non-coding RNA (272 nucleotides) under Vigna radiata. RNAcentral describes it as "long non-coding RNA (VRAD_LNC011406)". The record is from RNAcentral. Lineage: Eukaryota; Viridiplantae; Streptophyta; Magnoliopsida; Fabales; Fabaceae.